Gorilla gorilla gorilla (western lowland gorilla) is the source of this 139-nucleotide non-coding RNA. It matches the Rfam family "Metazoan signal recognition particle RNA". From Rfam's summary of the family: The signal recognition particle (SRP) is a universally conserved ribonucleoprotein. The record is from Rfam. Lineage: Eukaryota; Metazoa; Chordata; Mammalia; Primates; Hominidae.
GCCAGGCAUGGUGGCGCAUGCCUGUAGUCCCAGCUACUUGGGAGGCUGAGGUGGGAGGAUGGCUUGAGCCUGGGAGUUCCAGGCUGCAGAUUGGGCCACUGCAUUCCAGCCUGGGUUACAGGGCGAGAUCUUGUCUCUA